GACGAACGCUGGCGGCGUGCUUAACACAUGCAAGUCGAACGGUAAGGCCCUUCGGGGUACACGAGUGGCGAACGGGUGAGUAACACGUGGGUGAUCUGCCCUGCACCUCGGGAUAAGCCUGGGAAACGGGGUCUAAUACCGGAUUGGACCCUGGGAGAGAUGUCCUGGGGUGGAAAGCUUUUGCGGGGUGGGAUGGGCCCGCGGCCUCUCAGGUUGUUGGUGGGGUGCUGGCCUACCAAGGCGACCGCGGGUAGUCGGCCUGAGAGAGUGACCGGCCCCACUGGGACUGGGAUACGGCUCAGACUCCUAAUUGAGGAAGCAGUGGGGAAUAUUGCACAAUGGGCGCAAGCCUGAUGCAGCGACGCCGCGUGAGGGAUGAAGGCCUUCGGGCUGUAAACCUCUUUCAGCACCGACGAAGCGCAAGUGACGGUAGGUGCAGAAGAAGGACCGGCCAACUACGUGCCAGCCGCCGCCGUAA
RNAcentral lists this ribosomal RNA (478 nucleotides) under uncultured bacterium. RNAcentral's name for it is "partial 16S ribosomal RNA". It matches the Rfam family "Bacterial small subunit ribosomal RNA", at positions 28 to 523 of the family's 1533-position model. The record is from RNAcentral.